UAAGUCUCCUGAAGGAACGUUGAAGACGACGACGUUGAUAGGUCGGGUGUGUAAGCGUAGCGAUACGUUGAGCUAACCGAUACUAAUGAACCGUGAGGCUUAACCUU
Molecule: ribosomal RNA, 107 nt
Filed under: Citrobacter freundii
Lineage: Bacteria; Pseudomonadati; Pseudomonadota; Gammaproteobacteria; Enterobacterales; Enterobacteriaceae
Also listed under: 1 other name
Description: partial 23S ribosomal RNA
Rfam family: Bacterial large subunit ribosomal RNA
Source: RNAcentral